ACGCUCGACACCUACGGGAGGCGGCAGUGGGGAAUAUUGCACAAUGGGGGAAACCCUGAUGCAGCGACGCCGCGUGAGCGAAGAAGUAUUUCGGUAUGUAAAGCUCUAUCAGCAGGGAAGAAAAUGACGGUACCUGACUAAGAAGCCCCGGCUAACUACGUGCCGGCAGCCGCGGUAAUCUGAGCGGGCUGGCAAGGC
RNAcentral lists this ribosomal RNA (198 nucleotides) under uncultured bacterium. RNAcentral describes it as "partial 16S ribosomal RNA". It matches the Rfam family "Bacterial small subunit ribosomal RNA", at positions 328 to 539 of the family's 1533-position model. The record is from RNAcentral.